GACGAACGCUGGCGGCGUGCCUAAUACAUGCAAGUCGAACGAGAGCGCCCGGUGCUUGCCCUGGUCAAUCUAGUGGCGAACGGGUGAGUAACACGUGGGUAACCUGCCCAUCAGAGGGGGAUAACAUCCGGAAACGGAUGCUAAAACCGCAUAGGUCUUCGAACCGCAUGGUUUGAAGAGGAAAAGAGGCGCAAGCUUCUGCCGAUGGAUGGACCCGCGGUGCAUUAGCUAGUUGGUGAGGUAACGGCUCACCAAGGCCGUGAUGCAUAGCCGACCUGAGAGGGUGAUCGGCCACAUUGGGACUGAGACACGGCCCAAACUCCUACGGGAGGCAGCAGUAGGGAAUCUUCCGCAAUGGACGCAAGUCUGACGGAGCAACGCCGCGUGAGUGAAGAAGGUGUUCGGAUCGUAAAACUCUGUUGUUAGAGAAGAACAAGUGCUAGAGUAACUGUUAGCGCCUUGACGGUAUCUAACCAGAAAGCCACGGCUAACUACGUG
RNAcentral lists this ribosomal RNA (498 nucleotides) under uncultured bacterium. RNAcentral's name for it is "partial 16S ribosomal RNA". It matches the Rfam family "Bacterial small subunit ribosomal RNA", at positions 28 to 507 of the family's 1533-position model. The record is from RNAcentral.